This 497-nucleotide ribosomal RNA is filed under the name uncultured bacterium. RNAcentral's name for it is "partial 16S ribosomal RNA". It matches the Rfam family "Bacterial small subunit ribosomal RNA", at positions 28 to 507 of the family's 1533-position model. The record is from RNAcentral.
GAUGAACGCUGGCGGCGUGCCUAAUACAUGCAAGUCGAGCGAACAGACGAGGAGCUUGCUCCUCUGACGUUAGCGGCGGACGGGUGAGUAACACGUGGAUAACCAACCUAUAAGACUGGGAUAACUUCGGGAAACCGGAGCUAAUACCGGAUAAUAUAUUGAACCGCAUGGUUCAAUAGUGAAAGACGGUUUUGCCGUCACUUAUAGAUGGAUCCGCGCCGCAUUAGCUAGUUGGUAAGGUAACGGCUUACCAAGGCGACGAUGCGUAGCCGACCUGAGAGGGUGAUCGGCCACACUGGAACUGAGACACGGUCCAGACUCCUACGGGAGGCAGCAGUAGGGAAUCUUCCACAAUGGGCGAAAGCCUGACGGAGCAACGCCGCGUGAGUGAUGAAGGUCUUCGGAUCGUAAAACUCUGUUAUUAGGGAAGAACAAAUGUGUAAGUAACUAUGCACGUCUUGACGGUACCUAAACAGAAAGCCACGGCUAACUACGUG